CGAAGGGGCUAGCGUUGUUCGGAUUUACUGGGCGUAAAGCGCACGUAGGCGGACUUUUAAGUCAGGGGUGAAAUCCCGGGGCUCAACCCCGGAACUGCCUUUGAUACUGGAAGUCUUGAGUAUGGUAGAGGUGAGUGGAAUUCCGAGUGUAGAGGUGAAAUUCGUAGAUAUUCGGAGGAACACCAGUGGCGAAGGCGGCUCACUGGACCAUUACUGACGCUGAGGUGCGAAAGCGUGGGGAGCAAACAGGAUU
RNAcentral lists this ribosomal RNA (253 nucleotides) under uncultured bacterium. Its description in RNAcentral is "partial 16S ribosomal RNA". It matches the Rfam family "Bacterial small subunit ribosomal RNA", at positions 527 to 779 of the family's 1533-position model. The record is from RNAcentral.